CCUUGGGACACUUCGAAUUGCGAACUGCAUUCGAAUCAUCUAGCUGGCAUUCGUUUACGGCUGGGACUACCGGGGUAUCUAAUCCGGUUCGCUCCCCAAGCUUUCACCCUUCACCGUCGAAGCGCGUUCUGCGGACCGCCUUCGCCACUGGUGGUUCUCCGCGGAUCAAAGGAUUUUACCCCUACCCGGGAAGUACCUUCACCUUCUCCCGAUCCCAAAGCGAAGCAGUGUCUCCGGCGUUCGGACCGCUGGGCGGGCCCGAUUUACCCGAAGAUUUGCCCGGCCAGCUACGGACGCUUUAGGCUCAAUAAUAAUGAGCACCACUCGGGCCGCGGGUAUUACCGCGGCGGGCUGGCACCCGUCUUACCCGGCCCUUACUUCUCGAGCUUUUUAGGCUCGAGAACAGACUACACAUAGUGUAGACACUUGGAGUUCCCCCAUCGUGGUUGCCCACAUUGUGGAGGUUUCGCGCCUGCUGCGUCCCGUAGGACCUGGAUUCGUGUCUCAGAAUCCAUCUCCGGGCGACUUCUCCCAAAGCCCGUACCCGUCUAUGGCUAGGGGGUCCGUGAAACCCCCUACUACCUGAUAGGCCGCAGACCCAUCCUCGAGCCCCGCAGGGUUUGGGCCUGAGGGCCUUCCAUCAUCUCAGACCUGUCGGGUAUUAUCCCCAGUUUCCCGGGGUUAUCCCCGUCUCGAGGGCAGAUUGUCCACGUGUUACUGAAAMCGUAAGGGCGAAUUCCAGCACACUGGCGGCCGUUACUAGUGGAUCCGAGAACGGUACCAAGC
RNAcentral lists this ribosomal RNA (786 nucleotides) under uncultured archaeon. RNAcentral describes it as "partial 16S ribosomal RNA". The record is from RNAcentral.